GACGAACGCUGGCGGCGUGCUUAACACAUGCAAGUCGAACGGAAAGGCCCUGCUUUUUUGGGGUGCUCGAGUGGCGAUCGGGUGAGUAACACGUGAGUAACCUGCCCUUGAUUUUGGGAUAACUUCAGGAAACUGGGGCUAAUCCCGGAUAGGAGAUCCUGCUGCAUGGUGGGGGUUGGAAAGUUUCGGCGGUUGGGGAUGGACUCGCGGCUUAUCAGCUUGUUGGUGGGGUAGUGGCUUACCAAGGCUUUGACGGGUAGCCGGCCUGAGAGGGUGACCGGCCACAUUGGGACUGAGGUACGGCCCAGACUCCUACGGUAGGCAGCAGUGGGGAAUAUUGCACAAUGGGCGGAAGCCUGAUGCAGCAACGCCGCGUGCGGGAUGACGGCCUGCGGGUUGUAAACCGCUUUCGCCUGUGACGAAGCGGUAGUGACGGUAAUGGGUAAAGAAGCACCGGCUAACUACGUG
This 468-nucleotide ribosomal RNA is filed under the name uncultured bacterium. RNAcentral describes it as "partial 16S ribosomal RNA". It matches the Rfam family "Bacterial small subunit ribosomal RNA", at positions 28 to 507 of the family's 1533-position model. The record is from RNAcentral.